Molecule: ribosomal RNA, 301 nt
Filed under: uncultured bacterium
Lineage: Bacteria
Description: partial 16S ribosomal RNA
Rfam family: Bacterial small subunit ribosomal RNA
Source: RNAcentral
CAGUAGCCGCGGUAAUACGAAGGGUGCAAGCGUUAAUCGGAAUUACUGGGCGUAAAGCGUACGCAGGCGGUUUGUUAAGUCAGAUGUGAAAUCCCCGAGCUUAACUCGGGAACUGCAUUUGAAACUGGCAGGCUAGAGUCUCGUAGAGGGGGGUAGAAUUCCAGGUGUAGCGGUGAAAUGCGUAGAGAUCUGGAGGAAUACCGGUGGCGAAGGCGGCCCCCUGGACGAAGACUGACGCUCAGGUACGAAAGCGUGGGGAGCAAACAGGAUUAGAUACCCCAGUAGUCCCUGUCUCUUAUAC